This 254-nucleotide ribosomal RNA is filed under the name uncultured bacterium. RNAcentral's name for it is "partial 16S ribosomal RNA". It matches the Rfam family "Bacterial small subunit ribosomal RNA", at positions 57 to 305 of the family's 1533-position model. The record is from RNAcentral.
GCAAGUCGAACGGUAACAGAGAAUAGCUUGCUAUUUUGCUGACGAGUGGCGGACGGGUGAGUAAUGCUUGGGGAUUUACCGUUUCGUAGGGGACAACAGUUGGAAACGACUGCUAAUACCGCAUAAUGUCUUCGGACCAAAGGUGGCCUCUAUUUAUAAGCUAUCGCGUAACGAUGAGCCCAAGUGGGAUUAGCUAGUUGGUAAGGUAAUGGCUUACCAAGGCGACGAUCCCUAGCUGGUCUGAGAGGAUGACC